CAUGGAGGGUGAGAAUCCCGUACGGUUGAUCAUUGCGUUUUACGAUACGCUUUCUAAGAGUCAAGUUGUUUGGGAUUGCAGCUUAAAAUGGGAGGUAAAUUUCUCCUAAGGCUAAAUAACGGCGAGAGACCGAUAGCGAACAAGUACCGUGAGGGAAAGAUGAAAAGUACUUUGAAAAGAGAGUUAAAUAGCACGUGAAAUUGUUGAAAGGGAAACGAUUGAAGCCAGUCGUACCUGCGGACAAUCAGCCUUCCGGGUGUGAUUACGUGGGACUUGAGGAGCUAAACACCCUCUUGAUUUGCAUAUUUGUGCUCGUGGGUGUAUUUGUCCGUGCGGUAGGUUAACAUCAAUUUCGGUUAUCAUAAAAUGGUUGGAGGAAUGUAGCUUUGACCUCGGUUGAAGUGUUAUAGCCUUUGGCAGAUGUGGUGAUCGGGAUUGAGGAUUGCAACGGAUACCCUUCGGGGCUACCCGUCUGAUCUCUGAUGGUUACUCUGGUGCCGAAAGCUUGCUUACGGUUAUCAAAGUUGACUGUCAAUAGGUUAGAACGGGUUAAAUUCGUUAAGGAUGUUGACGUAAUGG
This 579-nucleotide ribosomal RNA is filed under the name uncultured Glomeromycotina. RNAcentral describes it as "LSU rRNA". It matches the Rfam family "Eukaryotic large subunit ribosomal RNA", at positions 204 to 637 of the family's 3401-position model. The record is from RNAcentral. Lineage: Eukaryota; Fungi; Glomeromycota.